Molecule: ribosomal RNA, 263 nt
Filed under: uncultured bacterium
Lineage: Bacteria
Description: partial 16S ribosomal RNA
Rfam family: Bacterial small subunit ribosomal RNA
Source: RNAcentral
UACGUAGGGGGGCUAGCGUUGUCCGGAAUCAUUGGGCGUAAAGCGCGUGUAGGCGGCCCGGUAAGUCCGCUGUGAAAGUCGGGGGGCUCAACCCUCGGAUGCCGGUGGAUACUGUCGGGCUCGAGUACGGAAGAGGCGAGUGGAAUUCCUGGUGUAGCGGGUGAAAAUGCGCAGAUAUCAGGAGGAACACCAAUUGCGAAGGCAGCUCGCUGGGACGUUACUGACGCUGAGAACGCGAAAAGCGUUGGGGGGAGCAAAACAGG